This 243-nucleotide long non-coding RNA is filed under the name Nicotiana benthamiana. RNAcentral describes it as "long non-coding RNA (NBEN_LNC010507)". The record is from RNAcentral. Lineage: Eukaryota; Viridiplantae; Streptophyta; Magnoliopsida; Solanales; Solanaceae.
UUCAAACUUUUCUUUUGUGAAAAUCUGAUUUCACUCGCCUAUUAAAGUUAAUUGAUUUCUUUCGUUGUUUUGCCUUACUGAAUCCUUUCCAAAACAAGUAUAUUCAUGUACUUUGACAUAAUCACUUACUCGAUGGUUUUACUACUUCUUUUAUGGAAAUAAUCAGUCUGCCAAUAAAUUGAUUUCUUUCCUUAUUUUGAAUCUAUCACUACCCGUUAAGAAAGUGAUCCCUUAAUUAAAGGA